This 61-nucleotide transfer RNA is filed under the name Phytophthora infestans (potato late blight agent). RNAcentral's name for it is "tRNA-Val". It matches the Rfam family "tRNA", at positions 9 to 63 of the family's 71-position model. From Rfam's summary of the family: Transfer RNA (tRNA) molecules are approximately 80 nucleotides in length. Their secondary structure includes four short double-helical elements and three loops (D, anti-codon, and T loops). The record is from RNAcentral. Lineage: Eukaryota; Oomycota; Peronosporomycetes; Peronosporales; Peronosporaceae.
CAGCUCAGCGGUUGAACAUUCGCUUCACAAGCGAUAGGUCGGUGGUUCGAACCCACCAGGA